Durio zibethinus is the source of this 1969-nucleotide non-coding RNA. The record is from RefSeq and is a predicted model, not a curated record. Lineage: Eukaryota; Viridiplantae; Streptophyta; Magnoliopsida; Malvales; Malvaceae.
CUAUAUUAAUAAAUUUAUUUUAUAAAUUUAAGUCAAAAAUAAAUGUAAAAUAUUUUCAAUAUUAGUGUAGAAAUCAUAUUUAAACAUUGAACGCUUGGAUUUUUUUUUUUUUUGGGGGGGGGGUGGGGGUCGGUGGUGUUGUGAAAUCUAUAGAGAGAGAAAAUCGAAAAUACCAACGGCUAAAACAACCAACAAACACACACCGUGGCCCGACCCUCAUCCCAUUAUUUCAUUCAUUUUUCGUUCAUCUUUCUGACUUUAUCUCCAUCAGCCCAAAAAUCAUCCUCUUAUAAAAAACAACAUCAGACAACCUCAAACAUCAAUUUUGUCUAAUCAAUGCCCAAAUUGUUUGCAACGCUGCAGCCAACAGCCACUCUCUGUGUUUCUCCUUCAUUUCUCCAUCUUUCUUCCCACUUUCUUCUAACUCUACUUCAAACAAACCCUAUUUAGGCUACUGCCCUUCCCCUACCCCCAUCUGGCUCACCAUUUUCACUUACCCCUCCAAACUCAACUACCCAAUUCGCAGACUCAUUACACCCUCCGCGGUUUCCAUCGAGAAAGAAACUAUAAUCUCCGAGCGGCCCCACACUCUCCUACGUGAGACUGAUGGCGAAGAUGACGGCUGCGUCAGGUUUUGCAUCCAAAAAAUCCAUUUGCUUCAACAUUGCAUUUUAAAUAUAGGUAUUUUGAAACUGAUGCUCCUAAAGGUACUUAAUUUAUCGUUAAUUAUUGUUAAGUUGUUGAACCGUGCAUGCUAAAAUGGAAAUUUUAAAGGAAAUGUUAAAUCCUGAUAUGUCAACAAAGUGAUAGGAAGGAUUUAUGUGAUAGGUUUUCCAAGUUUUCUCUCUUUUGUAGAAUUUCUUACUCCUGAAAAUAAACAAAAUGAUAGUAUUCAAUUAUAACUUGGCAGUUUAUGGUGUUAUAUGAUUCCUAGGAUUAGCUUCCAUUAGCUAGACACGAGUCAACAUCUGUGUAAUAAUCAAGCAAAAAUAAUGUAUUUCUUCUCAUUGGCAAUUCAGUAGCAAUGAAUAUUAUGCUUUACGGUUUGCUUUGGUACUUGUUCUUCAUUAAAAGAGAGAGAGAGAGAGAGAGAGAGAGAAUUUCUUGAUGAAAAAUUUUCAAUUUGCAUUACUUUUCCUCUGUUGCAUUCUGGAUACUUUGUGAUUAUGCAUUGCAUUAGGUUUUUUUGUUGCUUCAAAGGUAAGAAAAGCAUUAUAAGUUUAGUUGGUGACUCAUCUUGAAAGCGUGGAGAUGCUCCUGGAGCCCCUAGGCAAUGGUGGUUUGGUGGUGGAACUGAUUUAACUCCAGCUGACAUCUUGGAGGAGGAUAUGUCAAGCUCUCCCAUUCCAUACAAAAAGGCUUGUGACAAAUUUGAUCCAUCCUUUUAUCCUCGAUUCGAAAAAUGCAUUGAUGUGAAAGACGAGGGCUUGGGGGAAUAUUUUUUGAUGAUCUAAAUGACUAUGAUCAGGAGAUGCUUCUUUUAUUGCCACCGAAUGUGCGAACUCUGUGGUUCCUGCAUGCAUGCCCAUUGUAGUGAAAAGGAAGGAUACACCAUUUAAUGAGAGCCACAUGGCAUGGUCGAUGAUCAAGGUACAACAUUUGGAAUGAAGACGGGGACGAAUUGAAAGUAAUCUUGUUUCUCUCCCUUUAAUUGCAGGAUGGGAACAUGAUCAUAAACCAUAAGAGGAAGUUAAGAGUGGAAAUUACUAGAUACAUGCAUCAACCCUCAGGAAUGGAUCUCAUGUAUCUGAUCCUUAUGCAUGAACCCCAAGGGAUGGAUCUGAGACAUACCAGUUGAGUUUCCCAUUGUUUUUUUCCCGCGGCAGAAGUUAUAACUUAGCUUUAUGGUUUUGUCGUAUUAAGGUGAUAGGCUACUCUCUGUAAAUCAUGUGAAUGUGGUUUGAUACUUAUUCCUGUAAUAUACAAGCCAACAGUGGCUAAUAAUAUUAUGAAUCUGUAUUUACGUUAA